UGCCUGUGGGACAAGAUGAAGUGAGGUGAAUGAUGUAGGUACUGUGACAGGGCGUUAGGCAACAAAUGAGCUGAUGUGAUGUAUUAGAGGGAGGAUCAACUGCUUCAGGUGACCUGGAUCAUCAAGAUAUGAGGAUGAGGAGUGGACAGUGUUGAUGGUAGGGGAUAAUGGGUGGGGCAGAGAGGUACAGGGCAAGAGUCCUUCAUGCUACUCAGAACCGCACAUUAUUUAAAACAUGAAUUAUUUAUUCUGGGGCUUUCUACUUAACAUCUUUAGACUGCAACUGACUGUAAUAACCAAAACCAUGGAAAGUGAAACUGCAGAUAAAGGCACCUUUGCCUGCAUAUCUCGUGGCUGGCUGCCUCUGUAUGCUGUGGUUCCUUUUUUUGACUUCUUUGACCCAAAGGCAUCUGGAAUCUCUUGAAAGCAUUAAUUACGCCUUCCGCUCUUUGCACGGAGGAGGACCCGUGUGGUCGUCACCAUGGCAGGACAUCUCAGCUCUCUGGGAAAGAGCACUGGACCAGAGCCAGGCGAUGGGGUGCCAGCUUCAGCUCUUGCCUAUACAGCGGUUCUUGGGCAAAUGCCCUAACCAGAGUCUUGGUUUUCUUAUGUUAAAAUUUGGAGAAAC
RNAcentral lists this long non-coding RNA (628 nucleotides) under Capra hircus (goat). RNAcentral describes it as "lncRNA (ENSCHIG00000004483.1)". The record is from RNAcentral. Lineage: Eukaryota; Metazoa; Chordata; Mammalia; Artiodactyla; Bovidae.